AUGAACGCUGGCGGCGUGCCUCAUCCCUGCAAGUCGAGCGAACAGAUGAGGAGCUUGCUCCUCUGACGUUAGCGGCAGACGGGUGAGUAACACGUGGAUAACCUACCUAUAAGACUGGGAUAACUUCGGGAAACCGGAGCUAAUACCGGAUAAUAUAUUGAACCGCAUGGUUCAAUAGUGAAAGACGGUUUUGCUGUCACUUAUAGAUGGAUCCGCGCCGCAUUAGCUAGUUGGUAAGGUAACGGCUUACCAAGGCAACGAUGCGUAGCCGACCUGAGAGGGCGAUCGGCCACACUGGAACUGAGACACGGUCCAGACUCCUACGGGAGGCAGCAGUAGGGAAUCUUCCGCAAUGGGCGAAAGCCUGACGGAGCAACGCCGCGUGAGUGAUGAAGGUCUUCGGAUCGUAAAACUCUGUUAUUAGGGAAGAACAAAUGUGUAAGUAACUAUGCACGUCUUGACGGUACCUAAUCAGAAAGCCACGGCUAACUACGUG
This 496-nucleotide ribosomal RNA is filed under the name uncultured bacterium. RNAcentral describes it as "partial 16S ribosomal RNA". It matches the Rfam family "Bacterial small subunit ribosomal RNA", at positions 29 to 507 of the family's 1533-position model. The record is from RNAcentral.